GACGUAGGGCGCGAGCGUUGUCCGGAUUUAUUGGGCGUAAAGGGCGCGUAGGCGGCCUGAUAAGUCGGGGGUGAAAUCCUGCGGCUUAACCGCAGGGCUGCCUUCUAAACUGUCAGGCUGGAGCACAGUAGAGGCAGGUGGAAUUCCCGGUGCAGCGGUGGAAUGCGUAGAGAUCGGGAAGAACAUCAGUGGCGAAGGCGGCCUGCUGGGCUGUUGCUGACGCUGAGGCGCGAAAGCGUGGGGAGCAAACAGG
Molecule: ribosomal RNA, 253 nt
Filed under: uncultured bacterium
Lineage: Bacteria
Description: partial 16S ribosomal RNA
Rfam family: Bacterial small subunit ribosomal RNA
Source: RNAcentral